RNAcentral lists this long non-coding RNA (804 nucleotides) under Homo sapiens (human). RNAcentral's name for it is "novel transcript". The record is from RNAcentral. Lineage: Eukaryota; Metazoa; Chordata; Mammalia; Primates; Hominidae.
GAGUGGAAAGUUCUGAGAGUCUGUGGCUCAGCCAUCGUGACUAUGUAACCAGUAUUGGUCGGUGGCCCAAGGUCUCUCUCCUUUCAGGGUUCAACCUCCAACCUUAUUUCUGCUUCCUUCAUGUUGGAAUUCACACUGUGAGGCAAGCCCCAGCUGAGUGUUAUUCCCUGAUGACCCUUCCAGCUGUUACUACUGAUUUGGGCGGAGACUUUUACUGGCUUCCUGAUAACAAAGCCCUCAUAGGAGGGAAUCUCUCAACAGCAGAAGGCUGUGGCUACUGGAACGCUGAGUUCUCUCAGACACAUUGAAAAAGUAUUGUCUUGCUACAGUGAAGCCUUACCGUCAUGGAAUACACUAGACCGUGCUGCUACCAUAUUCUGCGUUGGAUGUGAGUUCUCAAGUUCUGGUCCAUGGGGAAUGGGCAAGUGAAGAUGAGAAUUGCAAAAAACUAUACUCCGACCAAUAGAAUUGUUGUCAUCCUUUCUCUACGACUCCAAGAGAAACUUUAUACUGGAGGAAGAAUAUUCUACCACUUUGGGAUGCUUCCAAAGAAAUGGGAUACCAAAGGAGUGAACUUCAGGUCAUUGGAAGUGGCCAAGCUGGAGGGCGACCUAUGGAGACAUGUCCACUUCUGUAUGUUCUCCUGUGGGUCACAGGACUGUCUAUGCAUCCAUACAAAAUGCAAAACAGGGGAUGACAUCCUAGAAUGAAUUGUGGCAAAACAGCUUCAAACUAGCCAAGAAGACAAACAAAAUAUGGAGGGAAAAUUGAAUAAAAUUAAAUACCCAGAGUAAUGCCCCCCAA